RNAcentral lists this ribosomal RNA (245 nucleotides) under uncultured archaeon. RNAcentral's name for it is "partial 16S ribosomal RNA". It matches the Rfam family "Archaeal small subunit ribosomal RNA", at positions 474 to 719 of the family's 1478-position model. The record is from RNAcentral.
UAACCGCGCCCCGAGUGGUAGUCACGUUUAUUGGGCCUAAAGCGUCCGUAGCUGGUUUGGUAAGUCUCUGGUGAAAACCAACAGUAGACUGUUGGAAUGGCUGGAGAUACUACCAGGCUCGAGACCGGGAGAGGCUGAGGGUAUUCCACGGGUAAGAGUAAAAUCUUUUAAUCCGUGGAGGACCACCUGUGGCGAAGGCGCUCAGCUGGAACGGGUCUGACAGUGAGGGACGAAAGCGUGGGGAG